Molecule: RNA transcript, 2442 nt
Organism: Lolium rigidum
Lineage: Eukaryota; Viridiplantae; Streptophyta; Magnoliopsida; Poales; Poaceae
Gene name: boron transporter 4-like
Exons: 14
Source: RefSeq, a predicted model, not a curated record
AUGGAUCUACUGAGGAACCCUUUCAAGGGAGUGGUCGCCGAUGUCAAAGGAAGAGCAUCUUGGUACAAGGACGACUGGGUUGCAGGAUUCCGAACAGGAUUCAGGAUAUUGGCACCUACCAUGUAUAUGUUCUUCGCGUCUGCGCUCCCUGUCAUCGCCUUCGGAGAGCAGCUGAGCAACGAAACAAAUGGAAUCCUGAGCACAGUCGAGACAUUGGCCUCCACAGCGAUAUGUGGCGUAAUACAUUCCUUUCUCGGAGGGCAGCCACUGCUGAUCGUUGGAGUGGCAGAGCCUACAAUUAUCAUGUACACGUACCUCUACAACUAUGCCAAGAAGCAGCCGGGUCUGGGGGAACGGCUAUAUUUGGCUUGGGCUGGAUGGGUCUGCAUUUGGACUGCUAUCAUGCUCUUUCUUUUGGCAAUGAUCAAUGCUUCCAAUGUGAUAAGCAGAUUCACAAGGGUUGCAGGAGAGCUUUUUGGGAUGCUCAUCACUGUUCUGUUCCUGCAGCAAGCUAUCAAGGGAAUUGUAAGUGAGUUCAGUAAGCCUUUGGAAUUUGAGAUUGCCGACCGCACUUCACCGAUAUACCAGUUCCAGUGGGUAUAUGUCAAUGGCCUACUUGGUGUUAUCUUUUCAAUUGGCUUGCUAUACACUGCAUUGAAGACUAGGCGGGCAAGGUCAUGGCUGUAUGGCAUAGGAUGGCUUAGAGGCUUCAUUGCCGAUUAUGGCGUCCCUCUUAUGGUAGUUGUGUGGACAGCAUUUUCAUACGCACUACCAAGCCAUGUCCCUUCAGGAGUGCCUAGGAGGCUCUACAGUCCACUUCCCUGGGAGUCGGUUUCACUGGGACAUUGGACGGUAGCAAAGGAUUUGUUUUCCGUCUCUCCAGCAUAUAUAUUUGCAGCCAUCGUGCCUGCUUUGAUGGUUGCAGGACUUUAUUUCUUUGAUCAUAGUGUAGCUUCACAGUUGGCUCAGCAAAAGGAGUUUAAUUUGAAGAAGCCCUCUGCUUACCAUUAUGACAUUUUGGUACUUGGGUUCAUGGUCCUACUAUGUGGUUUGCUUGGUAUUCCUCCAUCAAAUGGAGUACUUCCUCAGUCCCCCAUGCAUACAAGAAGCCUUGCUGUACUCAGGGGGCAGUUUCUACGCAAAAAGAUGCUUCAAACUGCCAAAGAGGGCAUGGUGAAAAGUACUAGCAGUUUGGAAAUAUAUGGCAAGAUGCAGGAAGUUUUCAUCCAAAUGGAUAGCAUACAGAAUGCUGAUUUUGUUGACAAGGACUUGAAGAGUUUGAAGGAUGCUGUGCUGCGUGAAGGUGACGAAGAAGGGAAAUUGGCUGGAGAAUUUGAUCCUAGAAAACAUAUUGAAGCCCAUUUGCCCGUUCGCGUGAAUGAACAGAGACUAAGCAACCUGCUGCAAUCCUUACUGGUUGGUUGCUGUGUUGGAGCCAUGCCAGUUAUCAGGAUGAUACCCACUUCGGUUCUCUGGGGUUACUUUGCCUAUAUGGCCAUCGAUAGCCUACCUGGGAACCAGUUUUGGGAAAGGAUACGGCUUCUGUUCGUUGGAGCAAGCCGACGCUACAAGAUCUUUGAAGGUCCCCACGCAUCUUUUGUGGAGUCUGUGCCUUCAAGAACAAUAUCUGUCUUUACGAUCUUCCAGAUUGUUUAUCUCUUGAUAUGCUUCGGCACAACAUGGAUACCAAUAGCAGGGAUCCUCUUCCCUCUACCCUUCUUCCUCAUGAUUCUCAUAAGGCAGCACGUUCUACCAAAGUUUUUCGAGCCCAAUGACCUGCGGGAACUGGACGCAGCUGAGUAUGAAGAACUUGAAGGGGUUCACCUCGAACACACACUGCAGGAGGAUGAUUGCUCUAUUCCAGGAAGCUGUGACAACAGAAAUGAUGCUGAGAUAUUGGAUGAGCUCACAACAAACCGUGGAGAGGUGAAGCACAGAGCUGUAACCCAUCGUGAAGAAAAGCACCUUCAGGAGCCAACCGGUUGAACUUUUGAGCUAUUUUCUCUUUUUUUGCGGAAGAACACGCAUAUCAGUACAUGGUUAUUUUGUGCCUAUAAUUGGCAGAUUUCACGUAGUCCAUUCAAAUGCUGUUCAACCAAGAGUGUGAAGAUAGAAAAGUGUCCCGAGAACUGAGGCUUUCCUGCUUGUUCGAUGAGAAGUGUAGAGUAGAUCCUCAAGCAGCAGUACAUUGCUAAAUACACUACUGUUCGCUAAUAUGCAUUGUACUUUAGCUAGAGCUUUUCCGAUAAGCCAUGAUUGUGUAUGGUACGAAGUAAGAUCAGGUAUUUAGCAGCGAGAGCAGAUUGAAGAGAAGUAUUGGACAGGAAUGGGGAACUUGCCAGAAUGGUAAUGAGUAGAAGUAGAAAGAUUAGCACAUUAGAUAUUAGCUGCAAAACUGUUGCUCGGUGACCUGUUGCCUGUGUACUUAGCUUGUUCGGCUUG